RNAcentral lists this long non-coding RNA (273 nucleotides) under Oryza brachyantha (malo sina). RNAcentral describes it as "long non-coding RNA (OBRA_LNC001416)". Lineage: Eukaryota; Viridiplantae; Streptophyta; Magnoliopsida; Poales; Poaceae. The record is from RNAcentral.
UAGGCUAAUUAGCACCUUUUAGGGUGGCCCCACCGAGGGCAAAAUUGUGAAAGAGCAAUGUUCGAAAGCAUCAUCCAAGCUUACUCAUGCCGCCAUCAGCUGAGCUCUUCCUCUAUAUAUAGAAAGCUCUUCCAUCGCGCACUCAACCCACAUCGACAUAGAACGAACGAACUCGAGUCGAGUAGGAGGAAGAAAAAAAAAAGAGAGAUCAAAGAAUCGACAGGUCUCAGCCGGCGGCGACCAUGGAAAGCAUCACCGGAGGAGCGGGGGCNN